RNAcentral lists this ribosomal RNA (256 nucleotides) under uncultured bacterium. RNAcentral describes it as "partial 16S ribosomal RNA". It matches the Rfam family "Bacterial small subunit ribosomal RNA", at positions 521 to 776 of the family's 1533-position model. The record is from RNAcentral.
UAAUACAGAGACCCCGAGCGUUGACCGGAUUUAUUGGGCGUAAAGCGUACGCAGGCUGUCUUGUAAGUCAUUUGUUAAACCUUCAGGCUCAACCUGGAGACUGCGGGUGAUACUGCAAGACUAGAGUAUGGGAGAGGUCGGCGGAAUGCCUAGUGUAGGGGUAAAAUCCGUUAAUAUUAGGUAGAACACCAAAUGUGAAAACAGCCGACUGGAACAUUACUGACGCUGAUGUACGAAAGCAUGGGUAGCGAAUGGG